UUGCGACAAGUGGAAGUUCCAGAAUUUCAACUAUUUUUUAACCAAUUAACAUGCUUAGAAUAUAUCACGUGUUGUAGUAAUUCGAUCUGUUGAUAACAAGCGCUAUGUUCGAUCUUUUGGGAGCAAACAUUCAAAGAGUAAAGAAUUUUUAUUCAAAUUUUCUACUUAUAAAGUUCCAAAGACCUAAUGAAAUACAUGGAAUUUGUUUUCAAAGGUAUGUCUCUUGUGUAUUUACUCAUUUGUAUGCGGAUAGUUACUUGAUAUAAUGUAUAGUUAUGUUUUUAAAUCGAAGGCCUGUAUUUGUAUUAAUACUUUUUCACCGAAGGCAUCUAAACGUUCAGUUGUAAAUAAAAUUUUCGAUUAGUUUCUAUUAGCAGAAGUGUAUAAAUCUAAUCUACACUCUACUUAUUUGUGUUUUAAGGAAAUCGUAUAGCUUAUUUGUGUGAUAUAUAUGUAUGUUAUAUUUCCUGUGAAAUAUUUGCCAUUUAUAGUUGACAUGUAUACUUACAAAUCACAUAAAUAUAAUGUGAUUUGUUUGAAGUCACAUUAAUAGCAUAUAGAUAGCAUUGUAAUGGCCCGUCUCCCAAUAUUACCCAAUGUAUGGCAUGUGCUUGCUAUGGUAACCCUCCAUCGGUCACCCUAAAACAUGUGUGAGGGGCUGCUUAUAUGGUCAAUAUGGAGGAAAGCCAGCCCAGGUAACCCGGCUAUAGCUUGCUUUCCCUGGAUGAAUGUCUGUUUACAUGAGCCUCUUUAGAUGGGUAGGCUCACCAAAUUGAAUCACCCAGACUGAGUUAUAUAAUAGAAGCACAUUUUCCAAUAACCAACAUCUUACUUUUGCAGACAGUUUCGAAAUGUAACUGACAAAAACAAUUACUGAGAUAUUUUAAUGCUUUAAGUGGCAAUGCGCCCUACUUUAUUAUUUUACUUUGUUUAACAUCAGACAAUUUUUCUCGUCAGGAGGAGAAUCUGCCCCUCAAUGGGUUAAUCAGACUAUCUGCCUAUAGGAUGCACCCUGUUUACCCUGUAAGUGGCAAUGUGCCCAGAUGUGCCCUACUUUAUUAUUUUAGUCUGUCUUACGCCUGACGAUAUUACUCGUCAGGGGGAGAGUGCUUGAAUCCAGUACAUGCACUACAAAAAAAUUAUCGGACAAUGAAAACAUAAACUUAAAGAUGCCCAGAUUUUUGUGGCAAGGUAACUUGCCCAAUUGGGCAAGCAAGAUAAAACAUUUACUUGCCCGUCAUGAAUUUCACUUGCCCCGGGCAAGUGGGCAAGUGUUAAGUUACACCUCUGCUUGCUUUGUAUACUAGAAAACAACCAAAAAUAGCAAAUUCAUUGUCACUCAAUCAAUAAUUUGCUUCUGUUAUAUAUCAACCUUAUAUAUUUUUUCUUAAUUAAUAGUGGUUGUAUUUAAUAUGGAUUCAUUAUAUCUUGUGAUGCUGAAUGAAACGUUAUCGAAGCAUCGCAGGAGAAGGCAAGUCAUCUAAACAAGUGGCAAUAUAUAUAAUCAUUGAUGGCAUUUGAAGUACUUUAUGGUCUAUUUGGAAAAUGUUAUUCUUUUGCUGGAGAGCAUGUUUAUGGAUUACCAAACCACGCAAGGAAAGGACUAGGAGUUGCCGACUGGUGGUAUAGUACAGCUUGUUUUGUACUAAAAUUUAACUAAUGAACUUGCACGACAUAUAUAUGCUUGAUUGAGUACUGACAAUGCACGCAGUGUAUUUUACUUUAGUCUUGUAAAUAUUCAAGAUUGAACAGAAUGUUUAACCCUUUAAGUGGCAAUGUGCUCUACUUUAUUAUAUUAUUAUUUUGUGUCCAAUGCCAGGUAUGCUGCCACUCAAUGGGUUAAAGUCUUUCUGUAGAUGGAAAUAUUGAACAAUAACUAUGUAAUAGCUGUUGUGCCGGGAAUGGAACCCCUGUGAUUCAGAUCAGCUCCUUAAUUGCAAAGAGUACAUUAAACCCCAAGAGUCAAUGGAGGUCACCGAGAGUUUAUGUAUAUAAUACUGUCAUCCCAGUUUAUUUAUUAUAUAUAAUAAUACUACCACUGACACCACCAUGGUUUAUAUAUGUGCAGCAACUUGUGGUGACCUCUUGGCAAACAGACACUUUAAGGGCCUGUUUACAUGGAGGUAGGGUGACCCUAUCAGGAGGGUUACCCUAGCAAGCGGGUCAGAAAAUAGCGAGCGUUUACAUGAGGUAGGGUGACCCUACUGCUAGGGCUAUGUUGCCGGAUAGGGUAACCCUACCUAUGCGUGGUCGCUAAGCGGUCUGUAUUAGAUAAAUGGCACCGAAACGCAAAGUUUUAGCGGCAAGUUGUGUAAUGCUAUUUAUUGGGCCUUUGCUUGCUGCAUUUCAAUGUUGUGGUCUGUUAUUUCCGAGGUUAUUUCAAUAUCGUGGUCUGUUAUUUCAAUGUUGUGGUCUAUUACUCGCAUUGCGUAAAUAAGCGUAAUGUAUUCCUUGAUAUAGUCAAACACAACAGUUUUUCGACAUGUUCGGCUGACUAAGAGCAUUUAUUUUGUUUUUUUGACGUCGAUGAGGAUGCGCCGGAAUUUUGCUUCCAGUUCGCCGUCUUUGACACUGAAUUUGUUAUCGAAACUACAUCAUUCGCAGCGUUCUCGUCCAAAGUCAAAGCUUCGUUCUAUGCCUCUGCCGCUUCCUUAUUUGUAAAUUGCUUGCCCUUCUUAUUUUGUGGUGUCGUUUAAAAUACUCGCCAGGCUGAUAUGUAUAAUCUAGCGACGCCAUCCUUGUUAGUUGUCUGUCACAGUAGGACGAAUAAACAUGACCCGCUUGCUAGGGUAACCCUACCUGACGCAUUUACAUGGCUUAUGUAAACAAAAAGAUAGCCCUGCUGCUAGGGUCACCCUAUCUGUUUGAUAGGGUAACCCUACCCCUAGGGUAACCCUAGCACGCAUGUAAACGCUUCCUAUAAAGCAUAUUGAAGUAGGGUAACCUGCUUGCUAGGGUAACCCUUCUGCUAGGGUCACCCUACCUCCAUGUAAACAGGCCCUAAGUCAGAGGGCUGCAGUAGAAUUGCAGGGCUGCAGGUUCAGUUCGUGCUGGCAGACUUGCAAUUGCUCUCAGUUAUUUGAAGUUUGUUCGUUCACUGCAACCAGGUAUAUCAAUCGUGUUUUGCUCGCUACUCUGGUUUAAAUAAAUGAUUACAAAGCCCAGUCGAAUUGUAAUCAAGACCCAACGUUUCGACACUCCAGUCUAGUGUCUUCUCUAGGGGUGAUCUAAGGUUGCAAUUGUGGUUUCUUAAAUACCCAAGGGAUGACAUCACCUGCCAAUGAGAUGCAUGUAUUCCUCUGGCAAAUAGGCACCGUUAUCCCUAUUCACAGCGUAAUUACUCAUAUUUAUAUGUCAUGCUUCUAGGCAUAGUCUUUGACCAUUGCGAUUAUUUGUGGCAAUUACUUUAGAGUUUUCCCAUACAAUCUUGUGUUUGGUGUCACACACAUGUUCUGCUAAAGCUGAUUUUCCCUUGUUUAAAGUUGAAACAGUCUUUUGAUGUUCUUUUAGCCAUGUACGAAACUGGUGGUUACACUGACCCAAAUACUCUUUCUCGCAGUCACUGCAUGGUAUAGAAUAUACAGUAUGAGUUUUCUGAUUUGUUUUAACAAGAUCUUUUGGCUUUGCAAAAAUAUGGCUUAAUGUCAAAUAGGGUUUUAAGGCAACCUUAAUAUUACAUGCAUCUCAUUGGCAGGUGACGUCAUCCCUUGGGUAUUUAAGAAGCCACAAUUGCAACUUUAGAUCACCCCUGAUGAAGACACUAGACUGGAGUGUCGAAACGUUGGGUCAUGAUUACAAUUCAACCAGGCUUUGUAAUAAUGUAUUAAACUAGAGUAGCGAGCGAAAUAUGCUCGCAGUUAGUUCUAUGAAACACAUGUUAACUGUACAGUUUCCAUUUGAAAUAUUUAUCUACAAAAACCCAGUAAUCAGUCUGCUAUUAUUGCCUCACUAGAGUAGGCUCUUGAUUGUCUCCUAUAUUUAAUAUUGGCUAUUUGCAACAUCCUGCAAUCCAUCAUAUUAUACACAUGUUCCCAUGAUAUCAUCAGUGAAAAUUUGAACUUAGAACUGCAUUCAAAGAAUGUUAUCGAGCGUACGAAUGUAUCAUUAUAUAUGCUAAAGCAAAUUGUCUUUCCUAUUAUAAUACUGUAUACCUUAUAUAUAGAAGG
Molecule: non-coding RNA, 4166 nt
Organism: Paramuricea clavata
Lineage: Eukaryota; Metazoa; Cnidaria; Anthozoa; Malacalcyonacea; Plexauridae
Source: the annotation of a GenBank genome assembly